UUUGCCCAUAUGGAAGUUGAUCUUUUGCCCUCUUUCCGCCCUAGUCCAAGCUGCCAAUUGAUCCUCCCAGGAAACGAAAAACACAUGCCCGUAAUAUUGAACGUGUUGUCCGUGAUCCUGAAGUAAGAAAUCACAUUUUCUGCCCUGAUUCUCUCCCCGCAGAUCGAGCCAAAAAGGGUUGGUGGCCAACACUUAAGCUAGUUUCCAGUCCGGAUUCAUCAGGAAAAUCUUCAAGGAUUCGGUUUUCAUGAAGUCGAUGAUUGUUUCAUUUCAUAAAAGGAUUGAGAUUCUCCUGUAAAAGGCCACAUUCAGAUACACCAAAUAGACUUUGUGAGCGCAACAAAACAGAGGGCACUUACAUCCUUCCAAGAGAAAUAAGAGACUCUGUUAUCAAGGAGGGAGAAGAGAAAGCAACAUCCUCAAGCAACUUAUGGGUUUUAAUUUGUUCUUAUAGUUCCAGUGUAUUCGGCAACAGACUUGUUGAAUCUUU
This 490-nucleotide long non-coding RNA is filed under the name Populus trichocarpa (black cottonwood). Its description in RNAcentral is "long non-coding RNA (PTRI_LNC004643)". The record is from RNAcentral. Lineage: Eukaryota; Viridiplantae; Streptophyta; Magnoliopsida; Malpighiales; Salicaceae.